Molecule: long non-coding RNA, 2011 nt
Filed under: Homo sapiens (human)
Lineage: Eukaryota; Metazoa; Chordata; Mammalia; Primates; Hominidae
Description: HSALNT0358307
Source: RNAcentral
AGCGAGGGGCACCUUGAGCCAGGGAGUUAGGGGCUCAGGAGCUGUGAUGUGACUGCCCCCACCCCCAGGAAACUGACUCCCUUCCAGAGGAAAGUCACUGUCUCUCUCCAAGAGCCUCCCAUGGCUCAGGGGCUCUUGAGAGAUGCCUUCGUGGGUGAGUUUGAUUUUUGGAAACUGCCAGAGUGUUCUGGAGCUGGGUCUAGUGAAUGAAGUGGGUGACUAAGCUGAUUUAGGUCAUCUGUUAUUACGAACAAAAAAUGACCCCAGCAUAAUUACUAAAAAAACCAACCAACCAACAAACAAACAAAAAAACCAGCAGAUGUUCUUGUCUGACUUGUUAACUGGCUUCUAAGGGAUGAGUCAAAGAAGAACCUGCUAAAACACAAUGGAGGCUUUGGCAACUUGGGAGAACAAGGAUGCUUUUCCCAAGGGGACUACAUUGAAAAACCCACACUCGGAGCCACCAAGUUCUGAUGCAUUUGCUUGAAAACAAACAGCUCUCCCCAUGGCAGCACUGAACGGGAGUUCAGAGGAAGCACACACGGUGAGUGGAAGAAAUCAGACGGCAGAAAGGGAACGCUGGCUGCUCAGAGAAGGGAAUGAUCCAGAAGUGAUGUCAGGAUCUUGUAGAGCCUGGGGUGUUGUUUAGACUCCCAGGGACUGUAUCUCCCUUGGGUAGCAGGAGAGUGAUCAACCCACAGACACAGUGGGCUGGUGGCCCCUCCCAGAUGUCAGAGUCCCUGUCUCCAGGUUUUCAAUCCCACAAGUCUUUAAAAGAGAAAUGCGUGGUGUGGGGAUAAGAUGACAGGCCUUGGAGACCCAUGGAGUCCUGGCUUUACUGUUUGUUGUAUGAAUUUGGGAGCAUCUUACUUUCUGAAGCUCAGUUUCCCCAUCUGUAGAGUGGGGGUGACACCUGCUUCUCUCCUAUUAUCUACUUCCCUCUCAGGAGAUAGAGAGUUCUGGCCUCCUGCAAAAAAUCAUAGCUCCUUAUUUCCUUUUGGCCUGCCCCAGGCGGGUGAAAUGUCUGAGCCACAAAGAUCCCAAUGGCAUUAUGAGUAGCCUGGCUACCUGGCCAGGGAGGUGACAAAAAACAUGAACAAAGAGGUCCAAGGCCAACUUCGCCCACAUCAUUGUCUCACUGAGGUGAGACUGUGUCCACCUCUUGCCGCCCCUUAUUUGCCCCACCUUCAGGGUUUCCUGCCACUGAAAGGCCUGCUCUGCAGAACUCCUGGGGCUGGGUUCCUCCCUGACUCACCACCCCCCACCUCUCCAGGUGCCCCAGAGCAAGUGCAGGCCCCUCUCUGGGACUCAUUUCCUCAGAAUCACGAGGCGUAGGGAAACUGGAUGAUGCCAGGAGAGUGAGAUUCUGGCCCCCUCCUUCCUGGCUGUCUCUGACAGGGUCACUUCCCAGCUGCCCUGAAAGUCCCUGGAGGACAGGGCAUGCACUGUGAGCUUUCCAGGGAGCAGCCUGCCCCACCCCUGUGCUGGCCCCAGCCCCCAUCCACUGCUUCCACUGCCGGAUGGGUGCCAUUCACUUGGCUCCAGGAAAGCCCUCAGUAGGAAGCUUGUGAAAAUACUAGAACAGAAGUCAGUCCCUCCCUCCCGCUACUUAGCUUUUCUUUCCUUCGUCUGUCUGUCCCACCCCCUCUCUGUGACUCUCCCCUCCCCUUCAUCUCUCUGGCCCUCCCUUCUCUCUUCUCUUGCCCCAGACACAGAACCCAGAAGAGCCAGCAGGAACAGACAGACAGUGAGAGCUACAGCCUGGGAGACGUGUAAGAACAUGUCAACCUUGAUGUUACUCCACAAAUCGUAGGCUGUGACUCACGUAGCGUUCUUGCCUGUUCUGGAGGGCUGCCUUUGGUUGUCUUGCUGGAGCACGAAUACCCUUUCCCUAUGGUAUCUAAGCCUUGCAUCUGGGGUGUGAGAAUGCAGAGCUCCACCUGUCUUGUGGCCACCCAAGAUCCCACUUCGGUCUGUAAAUUCCCUCAAUAAAUCACCCAAUAUUGACAAA